Megalops cyprinoides (Indo-Pacific tarpon) is the source of this 341-nucleotide long non-coding RNA. RefSeq lists it as uncharacterized. The record is from RefSeq and is a predicted model, not a curated record. Lineage: Eukaryota; Metazoa; Chordata; Actinopteri; Elopiformes; Megalopidae. The transcript has 3 exons.
AAACAUUGUGAAUGUCACUGCUUCUAUAUCUGGCUUAAAGGCUUUGUGGUUUGAAAUGUCUUUCUUCCUAGGGUGUGAUUUGGGUUGAAGAUCACUUUCAGGCAAAAGUACACUCUACAGUGUGAGAAGGAGCACAGCACUGGACCUUGAAAGAGCCUUAUCAGGUUGAAUAUGGGGAACUGCAGCUCAUGGUAACUUGCUGUGACGCGACCAUAUUGUCUGUGAUAUCCGCGAUCCCUAGUUGCUUCAAUGGGAGACAAAUCCAGCAAGCCAAGCUCAGCUGUAUGAAUCACUGUGUACAGAUAUCAGUGUCAGGAUAUUUUCUUAAUAAAUCCUUAUUG